GGCUAACGCUGGCGGCGCGCCUAACACAUGCAAGUCGAACGAACCCUUCGGGGUUAGUGGCAGACGGGUGAGUAACGCGUGGAUAAUGUGCCUCUUUUCUGGGGAUACCGUUCCGAAAGGAACGUUAAUACCGAAGGUGCUUGUUUGGCGGCAUCGUCGAGCAAGUAAACUGUUGGGGUGAAGGGAGCAGUGCGCGUUCUAUCAGCUAGUUGGUGAGGUAACGACUCACCAAGGGUAGGACAGAUAACUGGUCUGGGUGGAUGGCCAGUCACACUGGAAGAGAGACACGGUACAGACACCUACGGGAGGAGGCGGGGAGGAAUCAUGCACAAUGGGCGAAAGACUGAUGCAGCGACGGCGCGUGAGGGAUGAAGGCGUUCGGGUUGCAGACCUCUGUCAGUAGGGAAGAAGAAUGACGGUACCUACUGAAGAAGCUUCGGCUAACUACGUG
Molecule: ribosomal RNA, 451 nt
Filed under: uncultured bacterium
Lineage: Bacteria
Description: partial 16S ribosomal RNA
Rfam family: Bacterial small subunit ribosomal RNA
Source: RNAcentral